GUUUUCUUCGGACACAACAUCUUUGUUUGUAUGUGGUGCUGAGGAUUGAACCCGGGCUGCACGCAUGCCAGGUGAGUGCGCUACCGCUUGAGCCGCAUCCCCAGCCCCCAUUAAUGAUCUUUUUAAAAAACUCUCAACAAUACUAUUUGCCUUGAUGUUUGUCUUGUCUGAUAUUACUACAUUUGCUUUCCUUAAUUUUUAUUUCCCUGCUCUACUUUUUUUUUUUGUCUCUGGAAAUUUUUAUUUCCCUACUCUACUUUUGUGAGCAUUGAUAUUUUUGAUACUUCUCUAUAAACAACCUUUAGUUGACAUUUUUUAGUUGAAUCUAAAAAUCCAUAUCUUUUAAUGUCAGAAUUUCUUCUAGUUAUAUCUGUGAAAGUUACUGAUAUACUUGUAUUCAUUUUGCUAAUUGGAGUGUUUGCUUUUUAUCUUCCUUUUUAUCAGCUUCUCUAUAUGGAAGCCCAUCAUGCUCACAGGUAACCCCAUUCUUCUGCGACUUCCUCCUGCAGCCACUUGCUCUAGCUGCCUGACCUCACUGGCAAUUCUUGAAUGCCUUCCUUGCUAGGCCUCCCCAGAUUUGCCUGUGCCACUCAUCUGUGGGAUGAGUUCAUAGUUCUUUCUACUAUGCAACUUAUACAUUGGACAAUUUCCCACUUGUACUUUAUGCCUCAGUUCAGGGUCACCUUGUCUAUGAAAAUUUUCAGGAUACUUUGAGCCCAGGAUGAUUUGCUGCAUCCUCCUGUUUCCAUAGUACCUAGAGCAUCUCUUUGUUAUGGUUCUCACCAUGUAUUUACUAAAUACAUGUUUAAAUGCCUUUAUUUUCUAGACCAGGAACUUCUUAAUGGUAAGGAGUAUGUCCCUAUUUCUAUCCCCAGAAUCUAGUCCAAUACUUGGCCCAAUUCAUAUUUGUUAAACAAAUGAAUAAAACUAAAAAAUAGAGUUACUAUAAAGAAAAAGGACUUGUUCUGUAAAUCAUAAACAACAUCAUUCUUACUUCUGAUAUGCUUUCCCCCCCCCCCGUUUUAAUAAGACUGGCUUACUUUUCCAACUGCAUUGUGAGUUUUAUGUGGCAGGGACCAUAUUUUGUAGUAGGUUGGUGCCACUUCAUCUUUAAUAGAGUGUUGUGUGUGUAACAAAAUCCCAGAAAAUACUGUUUGAUUGAUGAGAUACAUACAUUCUGACCACUUGUAUUUUACCCAUACAAAAUGUUUUUUAUUAAAAUAAGGGUGUGACAAAUCAGUCAUAAUAAGGACAUAUAUAGAAAGUUCCUUCAGUGGAGUUACUGCCACAUGGC
RNAcentral lists this long non-coding RNA (1294 nucleotides) under Marmota monax (woodchuck). The record is from RNAcentral. Lineage: Eukaryota; Metazoa; Chordata; Mammalia; Rodentia; Sciuridae.